GUAAAAAUAUAAAUGGCAAGUUAAGUGUGAUUAUUCCACCGGAUCAAAGAGUUGCAUUAGGUCCUGGAGCUAACGAUUUUGUUACCGAGAUUUCUGUGAAAGUUUUUCAGCAUGCUAGGCAUGAUAUCAAGAAUUGGAAGAAUGUUUCUGAUCUAGCAAAAGAUAGAAUCAUUGCGCAUAUACUGGACACCUUCCAACUAUCCGACACACAACAUGUGCGGCAUACUAUCUUGGAUCAAGCUAAUAAACUAUAUCGAUAUCGUCGUAGUAGACUCCAUGAUCAUUUCAAGAAAUAUGCUACAAAAGAGGAGACCUUUUUGAACAUGCCAGCAGAGGUUAAUGAAGUUGAAUGAAAAUUCUUGGUGGAGUAUUUCAGCUCAGAUUCUUUUAAGAAAAUGAGUGAAAGAAAUAAAGCUAAUAAAGCAAAACAAGAAAUACCUCAUAUUUGUGGAAGUAAAUCCU
Molecule: long non-coding RNA, 462 nt
Organism: Solanum tuberosum (potato)
Lineage: Eukaryota; Viridiplantae; Streptophyta; Magnoliopsida; Solanales; Solanaceae
Exons: 3
Source: RefSeq, a predicted model, not a curated record